This is a long non-coding RNA of Cebus imitator (Panamanian white-faced capuchin), 813 nucleotides long. RefSeq lists it as uncharacterized. The record is from RefSeq and is a predicted model, not a curated record. The transcript is spliced from 4 exons. NCBI's taxonomy places the organism in Eukaryota, Metazoa, Chordata, Mammalia, Primates, Cebidae.
GCGGGGGCGCGCGCGGGGCGGCGGGGGGAGGCCCGGGCCUGGGAGUCGCCAAAGGGAGGAGUGGCCGCUCCGUGCUCUACCGGGCGGUCUCUGGGGCCAUCCGCGUGUGUGGCUGCGCACAAGAAAAGCGAGGCCUGUCAUAGGGGAAGAAAAGGUAUCAGCAGGGAUUUCCGCCCACUCUGCCCAACUUGACCAUUUCCCGUCGUCCUUCUAUGUGGGCCUCUUCCUAGUAUGCCCCUGGGAGACCAGGGGUCCUUGAGAACCUUUCGGGGAGUGUCUGAGGGCCCACAGUUGGGCUGGAAGAUAGAGCAACAAAAAGCACCCAUGUCACCGAUGAGAACAUUUAUGUGUGCCAAAUGGCGGGUGGAAGGUGCCACAGAGAGGCUGAGGAUUUCAGAGGGCACCCUGAACUGGAGUGAGGUCAUAGAGCAGGAACCCAAGACCUCCACCUGGUUGGUGUGAGCCCUCCAGGAAGCAGGCACCCUUCCCCAGCCCUCAAGCAAGCAAAAAUCCGGGUUUAAGAAAGAAGGAGGAGAAGCAGCAGCAGCAGCAGCCACAAAGCCUGUGACAGCUACAGCCCAAGGAGACUGAAGCAGGGGAGACUGAAGGCCUGAAGAGCAGAGGCUUCUUUCAAAGAAAAAGACCCCUCUCCCAGCACCCAGCGAUGACGGCAAGCCCCACCCACAGUGCCUGCUAAGAACAAGUUCCAUAUGAGGAUAACACGCCUUCCCCCCGAGAUGCCCAUAGGGACCCCGAGAUGCCUGCAGUGCUUGGCUCUCCCGCUGGCCAGCUGCCCACCUGGCUGGGGCCCAG